This 490-nucleotide ribosomal RNA is filed under the name uncultured bacterium. Its description in RNAcentral is "partial 16S ribosomal RNA". It matches the Rfam family "Bacterial small subunit ribosomal RNA", at positions 30 to 507 of the family's 1533-position model. The record is from RNAcentral.
AUUGAACGCUGGCGGCAGGCUUAACACAUGCAAGUCGAACGGUAACAUAGAGAAGCUUGCUUCUUUGAUGACGAGUGGCGGACGGGUGAGUAAUGCUUGGGAAUCUGGCUUAUGGAGGGGGAUAACUACGGGAAACUGUAGCUAAUACCGCGUAAUAUCGAAAGAUUAAAGUGUGGGACCUUCGGGCCACAUGCCAUAGGAUGAGCCCAAGUGGGAUUAGGUAGUUGGUGAGGUAAAGGCUCACCAAGCCGACGAUCUCUAGCUGGUCUGAGAGGAUGACCAGCCACACGGGGACUGAGACACGGCCCAGACUCCUACGGGAGGCAGCAGUGGGGAAUAUUGCGCAAUGGGGGCAACCCUGACGCAGCCAUGCCGCGUGAAUGAAGAAGGCCUUCGGGUUGUAAAGUUCUUUCGGUAGCGAGGAAGGUGGUUAGUUUAAUAGGCUAGCCAAUUGACGUUAACUACAGAAGAAGCACCGGCUAACUCCGUG